This is a long non-coding RNA of Sapajus apella (tufted capuchin), 273 nucleotides long. RefSeq lists it as uncharacterized. The transcript has 2 exons. The record is from RefSeq and is a predicted model, not a curated record. NCBI's taxonomy places the organism in Eukaryota, Metazoa, Chordata, Mammalia, Primates, Cebidae.
GCUAAUUCAUGCUCCUGUAGCAGCAUAUGUGAGGAGACAUUUCUCCAAAUCCUUGUCAACUCUUAGUUUUAUCUCUCCCUAAAAAUUCCAUCACUGUGGUUAGUCUUUCAUUUGUAUAGCAUCUUUCUUAAAAUGUUUAACCAAAAAUUUUGUUUUAAUCUAAUGAUGCAGGCCAGUAGGUUUGUGUACGCCCAUCUGACCCCAGCCAUGUAGUGCCGGUGUUCCCUCUGAAGUGUGACUCUGGUAAGUAUUCUGGAAUUAUUGUCAAGAAAA